RNAcentral lists this ribosomal RNA (901 nucleotides) under Fusarium avenaceum. RNAcentral's name for it is "LSU rRNA". It matches the Rfam family "Eukaryotic large subunit ribosomal RNA", at positions 38 to 964 of the family's 3401-position model. Lineage: Eukaryota; Fungi; Ascomycota; Sordariomycetes; Hypocreales; Nectriaceae. The record is from RNAcentral.
GCAUAUCAAUAAGCGGAGGAAAAGAAACCAACAGGGAUUGCCCUAGUUAACGGCGAAGUGAAGCGGCAACAGCUUCAAAUUUGAAAUCUGGCUUUCGGGCCCGAGUUGUAAUUUGUAGAGGAUACUUUUGAUGCGGUGCCUUCCGAGUUCCCUGGAACGGGACGCCAUAGAGGGUGAGAGCCCCGUCUGGUUGGAUGCCAAAUCUCUGUAAAGUUCCUUCGACGAGUCGAGUAGUUUGGGAAUGCUGCUCUAAAUGGGAGGUAUAUGUCUUCUAAAGCUAAAUAUUGGCCAGAGACCGAUAGCGCACAAGUAGAGUGAUCGAAAGAUGAAAAGCACUUUGAAAAGAGAGUUAAAAAGUACGUGAAAUUGUUGAAAGGGAAGCGUUUAUGACCAGACUUGGACUUGGUUAAUCAUCUGGGGUUCUCCCCAGUGCACUUUUCCAGUUCAGGCCAGCAUCAGUUUUCGCCGGGGGAUAAAGGCUUCGGGAAUGUAGCUCUCUUCGGGGAGUGUUAUAGCCCGUUGUGUAAUACCCUGGUGGAGACUGAGGUUCGCGCUUCUGCAAGGAUGCUGGCGUAAUGGUCAUCAACGACCCGUCUUGAAACACGGACCAAGGAGUCGUCUUCGUAUGCGAGUGUUCGGGUGUCAAACCCCUACGCGUAAUGAAAGUGAACGCAGGUGAGAGCUUCGGCGCAUCAUCGACCGAUCCUGAUGUUCUCGGAUGGAUUUGAGUAAGAGCAUACGGGGCCGGACCCGAAAGAAGGUGAACUAUGCCUGUAUAGGGUGAAGCCAGAGGAAACUCUGGUGGAGGCUCGCAGCGGUUUCUGACGUGCAAAUCGAUCGUCAAAUAAUGGGCAUGGGGGCGAAAGACUAAUCGAACCUUCUAGUAGCUGGUUUCCGCCGA